RNAcentral lists this ribosomal RNA (838 nucleotides) under uncultured bacterium. RNAcentral describes it as "bacterial SSU rRNA". It matches the Rfam family "Bacterial small subunit ribosomal RNA", at positions 61 to 894 of the family's 1533-position model. The record is from RNAcentral.
GUCGAGGGGCAGCACGAUGUAGCAAUACAUUGGUGGCGACCGGCGCACGGGUGAGUAACGCGUAUGCAACCUACCUAUCAGAGGGGAAUAACCCGGCGAAAGUCGGACUAAUACCGCAUAAAACAGGGGUUCCACAUGGAAAUAUUUGUUAAAGAAUUAUCGCUGAUAGAUGGGCAUGCGUUCCAUUAGAUAGUUGGUGAGGUAACGGCUCACCAAGUCCACGAUGGAUAGGGGUUCUGAGAGGAAGGUCCCCCACACUGGUACUGAGACACGGACCAGACUCCUACGGGAGGCAGCAGUGAGGAAUAUUGGUCAAUGGGCGAGAGCCUGAACCAGCCAAGUCGCGUGAAGGAUGAAGGAUCUAUGGUUUGUAAACUUCUUUUAUAUGGGAAUAAAGUGAGGAACGUGUUCCUUUUUGUAUGUACCAUAUGAAUAAGCAUCGGCUAACUCCGUGCCAGCAGCCGCGGUAAUACGGAGGAUGCGAGCGUUAUCCGGAUUUAUUGGGUUUAAAGGGUGCGUAGGUGGUUAAUUAAGUCAGCGGUGAAAGUUUGUGGCUCAACCAUAAAAUUGCCGUUGAAACUGGUUGACUUGAGUAUAUUUGAGGUAGGCGGAAUGCGUGGUGUAGCGGUGAAAUGCAUAGAUAUCACGCAGAACUCCGAUUGCGAAGGCAGCUUACUAAACUAUAACUGACACUGAAGCACGAAAGCGUGGGGAUCAAACAGGAUUAGAUACCCUGGUAGUCCACGCAGUAAACGAUGAUUACUAGCUGUUUGCGAUACACAGUAAGCGGCACAGCGAAAGCGUUAAGUAAUCCACCUGGGGAGUACGCCGGCAACGG